UACAGAGGUCUCAAGCGUUGUUCGGAUUCAUUGGGCGUAAAGGGUGCGUAGGCGGCUCGUUAGGUAGGGUGUGAAAGCCCCCGGCUCAACCGGGGAAUUGCGCCCUAAACCGGCGGGCUGGAGUGAGAUAGGGGUGUGUGGAACUUCCAGUGGAGCGGUGAAAUGUGUUGAUAUUGGAAGGAACGCCGGUGGCGAAAGCGACACACUGGGUCUCAACUGACGCUGAGGCACGAAAGCCAGGGGAGCAAACGGG
Molecule: ribosomal RNA, 253 nt
Filed under: uncultured bacterium
Lineage: Bacteria
Description: partial 16S ribosomal RNA
Rfam family: Bacterial small subunit ribosomal RNA
Source: RNAcentral